AUUUUAUUAGUAUAUAAGUAUAUCUAACUUCCAAUUAGAUGGUUUGAUUAUCAAAUAAAAUA
Molecule: transfer RNA, 62 nt
Filed under: Tettigotoma maculata
Lineage: Eukaryota; Metazoa; Arthropoda; Insecta; Hemiptera; Cicadidae
Description: tRNA-Gly
Source: RNAcentral